This 100-nucleotide transfer RNA is filed under the name Streptomyces nitrosporeus. RNAcentral's name for it is "tRNA-Pro". Lineage: Bacteria; Bacillati; Actinomycetota; Actinomycetes; Kitasatosporales; Streptomycetaceae. The record is from RNAcentral.
CGUCGAGAUGGACGACGGUGUCCACGGCGUGCUCGGCCAGGACCCGGGUGAUCGCCGGCCCGCGGAUGUCGGCCCGGACGAACUCGGCGUCCCCCAGCGG